AUUGAACGCUGGCGGCAUGCCUUACACAUGCAAAUCGAACGGUAACGGGCCUUCGGGUGCCGACGAGUGGCGAACGGGUGCGUAAUACAUCGGAACGUGCCCGAUCGUGGGGGAUAACGAGGCGAAAGCUUUGCUAAUACCGCAUACGAUCUACGGAUGAAAGCAGGGGACCGCAAGGCCUUGCGCGGACGGAGCGGCCGAUGGCAGAUUAGGUAGUUGGUGGGAUAAAAGCUUACCAAGCCGACGAUCUGUAGCUGGUCUGAGAGGAUGAUCAGCCACACUGGGACUGAGACACGGCCCAGACUCCUACGGGGGGCAGCAGUGGGGAAUUUUGGACAAUGGGCGCAAGCCUGAUCCAGCCAUGCCGCGUGCAGGAUGAAGGCCUUCGGGUUGUAAACUGAUUUUGUACGGAACGAAAAGCCUUCUUUUAAUACAGGAGGGUCAUGACGGUACCGUAAGAAUAAGCACCGGCUAACUACGUG
RNAcentral lists this ribosomal RNA (482 nucleotides) under uncultured bacterium. RNAcentral's name for it is "partial 16S ribosomal RNA". It matches the Rfam family "Bacterial small subunit ribosomal RNA", at positions 30 to 507 of the family's 1533-position model. The record is from RNAcentral.